GGAGGGGUGGCAGAGCGGCUGCAUGCACCGGUCCUGAACACCGGCAUGGGCGUGAGUCCAUCGGGGUUUGAACUCCCUCCCUCCG
This 85-nucleotide transfer RNA is filed under the name Acidobacteriota bacterium. Its description in RNAcentral is "tRNA-Ser". The record is from RNAcentral. Lineage: Bacteria; Pseudomonadati; Acidobacteriota.